AUACGGAGGAUGCGAGCGUUAUCCGGAUUUAUUGGGUUUAAAGGGUGCGUAGGCUGUGCGUUAAGUCAGGGGUGAAAUGCCGUCGCUCAACGACGGAGCUGCCCUUGAUACUGGCGUGCUGGAGUACGGAUGCCGUUGGAGGAAUGAGUGGUGUAGCGGUGAAAUGCUUAGAUAUCACUCAGAACACCGAUUGCGAAGGCAUCUGACGAAUCCGUCACUGACGCUGAUGCACGAAAGCGUGGGGAUAGAACAGGAUUAGAUACCCUGGUAUUCCACGCCGUAAACGAUGAUGACUAACCGUCGGCGAUAGACAGCCGGUGGCCAAGCGAAAGCGAUAAGUCAUCCACCUGGGGAGUACGUCGGCAACGAUGAAACUUAAAGGAAUUGACGGGG
Molecule: ribosomal RNA, 393 nt
Filed under: uncultured bacterium
Lineage: Bacteria
Description: partial 16S ribosomal RNA
Rfam family: Bacterial small subunit ribosomal RNA
Source: RNAcentral